AGAGUUUGAUCCUGGCUCAGGAUGAACGCUGGCGGCGUGCUUAACACAUGCAAGUCGAGCGGAGGUUUAAAGCGGAAGUUUUCGGAUGGAAGCAAUAAACCUUAGCGGCGGACGGGUGAGUAACGCGUGGGUAACCUGCCUCAUACAGGGGGAUAACAGUUAGAAAUGACUGCUAAAACCGCAUAAGCGCACAUUGUCGAGUGACAGAGUGUGAAAAACUCCGGUGGUAUGAGAUGGACCCGCGUCUGAUUAGCUAGUUGGUGAGGUAACGGCCCACCAAGGCGACGAUCAGUAGCCGGCCUGAGAGGGCGACCGGCCACAUUGGGACUGAGACACGGCCCAAACUCCUACGGGAGGCAGCAGUGGGGAAUAUUGCACAAUGGGGGAAACCCUGAUGCAGCGACGCCGCGUGAGUGAAGAAGUAUUUCGGUAUGUAAAGCUCUAUCAGCAGGGAAGAAGAAAGACGGUACCUGACUAAGAAGCCCCGGCUAACUACGUGCCAGCAGCCGCGGU
This 513-nucleotide ribosomal RNA is filed under the name uncultured bacterium. Its description in RNAcentral is "bacterial SSU rRNA". It matches the Rfam family "Bacterial small subunit ribosomal RNA", at positions 8 to 521 of the family's 1533-position model. The record is from RNAcentral.